UUAAGUUCAGCGGGUAUUCCUACCUGAUCCGAGGUCAACCUUUCAGAAGUUGGGGGGUUUUACGGCGUGGCCGCGCCGCGUUCCAGUGCGAGGUGUUGCUACUACGCAGAGGAGGCUACGGCGGGACCGCCAAUCGAUUUCGGGGCCGGCCCGUGACGGCCGAUCCCCAGCACAAGCCCGGGGGCUUGAGGGUUGAAAUG
RNAcentral lists this unclassified non-coding RNA (200 nucleotides) under Sordariomycetes sp. RNAcentral's name for it is "partial internal transcribed spacer 2". The record is from RNAcentral. Lineage: Eukaryota; Fungi; Ascomycota; Sordariomycetes.